AAUAAUCAAGUUCAUCAAUUGAUGGAAAAUGAGCAAUAAAAGGUUUUUCCUAUUACAGUAAGGGUUCAUUUGAUUGCAAAGGUGGAAAAGACAAACCAAUUCUAUGUAAGUUGGAAAAGAAAAAACUACCAAAAUCAUAGGAAUUCGAUUUCCAUGCAAUUGGCCAAAAACAUGCUUUAAAUGUUUGUACUUUGGAAUUCGAACUUCAUUUUCAUUUUCACAUCAAACAACCAAAAUAGAAAAUGAAUUCAUCGGAUGUGACAUUUUUCACAGAAUUUAAUACUAUCAAAUGAACCCUAAUAUCAAAACUCUCCCAAGUUUUGUAUGGAAUUUUAUGUGCCUUUUGCAGCUCGCCUCGAAAUUUUUGUGAGUGUUCUUUAACCAUUGAUUUCCAUGACUCCAAUGUUUCCUUACCUGCUUUGAUACCUUUCAAGUGCAUUUCUUCAAACAUUUUAUGAGCCUCUCCAGCUUACCUUUUUCACACAACUAAUUGAUCACAACCAACCCAAUAUGUUUUAUAGCCCUAAAUCUUCCAUCCUCUUCACUCUCAUUGACUGAAGUAGCUUCAAUACCUCAUCAAAUAUUCCAGAAGCACUAAAAACAAUAAAGCAUUUUGCGAAGGCUCUAAGAAUAAACACAUGUGGAUAAAAAUACCUGAAUUAUGAUUGAAGGUGAUUCCAUGAUAAAAAUCUCAGAUGAAAAUACCAUUCACUUCCAUCUGCUGCUGCUGCCUUCACUCUCUCCACAACUACCAUGCCAUUCUCGAACUCCUUGAUCGUAGACAUAUGAUUAGUAAAUUGACGAUGACAUAGUAACCUACUAAGUGAAAAUCUACUACCAAAUAAGUAAAAUCAUCAAUUUAUGGCCAAAUUUUAUGACAAUUUUAGGGAGAUUUAAGAGUGAAAACACCAAUUUGGCAGAAAAUGUACUCUAAGAGAGAGAGAGAGAG
Molecule: long non-coding RNA, 949 nt
Filed under: Olea europaea (common olive)
Lineage: Eukaryota; Viridiplantae; Streptophyta; Magnoliopsida; Lamiales; Oleaceae
Description: long non-coding RNA (OEUR_LNC014719)
Source: RNAcentral